RNAcentral lists this ribosomal RNA (483 nucleotides) under uncultured bacterium. Its description in RNAcentral is "partial 16S ribosomal RNA". It matches the Rfam family "Bacterial small subunit ribosomal RNA", at positions 30 to 506 of the family's 1533-position model. The record is from RNAcentral.
AUUGAACGCUGGCGGCAGGCCUAACACAUGCAAGUCGAGCGGAUGAAGGGAGCUUGCUCCUGGAUUCAGCGGCGGACGGGUGAGUAAUGCCUAGGAAUCUGCCUGGUAGUGGGGGAUAACGCCCGGAAACGGGCGCUAAUACCGCAUACGUCCUGAGGGAGAAAGUGGGGGAUCUUCGGACCUCACGCUAUCAGAUGAGCCUAGGUCGGAUUAGCUAGUUGGUGGGGUAAAGGCCUACCAAGGCGACGAUCCGUAACUGGUCUGAGAGGAUGAUCAGUCACACGGGAACUGAGACACGGUCCAGACUCCUACGGGAGGCAGCAGUGGGGAAUAUGGGACAAUGGGCGAAAGCCUGAUCCAGCCAUGCCGCGUGUGUGAAGAAGGUCUUCGGAUUGUAAAGCACUUUAAGUUGGGAGGAAGGGCAGUAAGUUAAUACCUUGCUGUUUUGACGUUACCAACAGAAUAAGCACCGGCUAACUUCGU